Molecule: ribosomal RNA, 253 nt
Filed under: uncultured bacterium
Lineage: Bacteria
Description: partial 16S ribosomal RNA
Rfam family: Bacterial small subunit ribosomal RNA
Source: RNAcentral
UACGUAGGGCGCAAGCGUUGUCCGGAAUUAUUGGGCGUAAAGAGCUCGUAGGCGGCCUGUUACGUCUGCUGUGAAAUCCCGGGGCUUAACCCCGGGCGUGCAGUGGAUACGGGCAGGCUGGAGGCAGGCAGGGGAGAACGGAAUUCCCGGUGUAGCGGUGAAAUGCGCAGAUAUCAGGAGGAACACCAACGGCGAAGGCAGCUCGCUGGGACGGUACUGACGCUGAGACGCGAAAGCGUGGGGAGCAAACAGG